Non-coding RNA from Rattus norvegicus (Norway rat), 1831 nucleotides. The record is from RefSeq and is a predicted model, not a curated record. Lineage: Eukaryota; Metazoa; Chordata; Mammalia; Rodentia; Muridae.
UGCUCCCACCCAGGCUCAAGCACUGGGAGUCCAGUGUAGAAGGGUAAUAAAGAGAGGGUUGAAACUUCACGCAAACCGCAGCAACACGAGGGGACAUUGGGCAUAAUCGGCUUUAAGAAUGGUCUAAAGGAUUCCUCUGUACAGCCCACGGACAGUGGUUCGGAACGGAGCAGGGAUUGUUGUCCUCGGCGUGUAUUUACACCAUCUGGAGAAACCUGAAGGACUACAGAGGCUAAAGCAUCGCUGAGGAAAUGGAAGCAGCCCAGGCUAAGGAAGGGCACAGGGUGCGUAGCCAUGGCUCCACACCCUGCAAGGAUCAGCAUCAACAUCAUCCUUGCAAAGUCACAGUUCCCCACCCACGUCUACAGAACCACAGUAUCCAGGAGUGGACCAAGCCCUCUGUGCUUUCCUAAGUUUCCUGUCAGUUGUGAAGUAGUCUGACCUUGGAGCUUGCUAAUAGAGCCCAUAAGACCUGGACUCUAAGACCAGACUGCUUGGGCUCAAUCCUCACUCCCUUCUUACAGAGAGACCCAGGCUAGUUAACUUUCUCAUGCUUCAGCCUUCCCUUCUGACAAUGGAGACAAUAUUUAUGGUCCUGCAGAGGAUUUUUUUUUUAAAGUGGGGUAAGUGAUAUUUGACCAGGGCCUGGUAUAUAAUAAACACUAUGUAGUGCCUGUUAGCAAACAUUCAUACACAUCAUUCUUUUAAAAAUGGUAUUUUUGAAGUUUUUCUGAACCAAUUGACCUUCAUCUCUACAGGGAGGAACUUUUACCUGAAAAAUCAACUCCCCUGUAAGGCAAUUUUCCAGAAAGAUGUUCCUGCGUGAGGAGACAUAUUGAAUCUCAAGGUGAUCUGGUUUUGAUUUGGAUGGUUUCUCAAGACAGGGUUUCUCCGUGUAGCCCUGGCUGUCAUGGAACUUGCUUUGUAGACCAGGCUGGCCUUGAACUCUGAGAGACACCAGCUUCUGCCUUCCAAGGGCAGAGACUAAAGGUGUGUGCCGCUGCCCCUCAAGCUGAUCGUACAGUAUGUGGGGCUGCCUGUGAUUUGCCCCUAUAUGUAAAUGUCUUUCAAAUGAGGUGGAGGUGGUGGCAAGGUCAGGUAGAGGGGGAACCUGUGCAUCCUUCAGAGUAUGUGGUGAGGUGCAGUCUUGACAGCAGCCAUCCCAUGUGAUGAGCUGACAAUACCUCCAUCGAGACACCAUCCCCAAGCAUUCCUUUGAAGAAGGUAAGAGAUGAAAUGAAACGGAGUGUUCUUAGGGGCCCGAGGGAGGCAUAUCGUCCAGCAAUUAUUCUGGAAGUGACUCUUCUAAGGAAAGUGCAUUGGGUGGCGGUGACAUCUGUGGACUCAAGAAAUACUCCUUGAGAUGACAAAAACUUGGGCCUGUUCCUGCAAGCCUUCCAUUAAGCUAUUGAAAGAGUGAUUCAUUAUGGGUCCCCACACCUCACAGGCUGGAUCCCUCCCCAAAGCUGCUUUGUCAUCCUUUUGUGGGUCGUAGUUGUGCUUCCCCUAAGCAGUGAUCCCUACAUGACACAGGACACUCUACCUGACACACUACAUGGCAUGUGGGGGUCACCGGACACCCCUUCCCGUGCUGCGGCUUCUGAAUUUCCAUUAAAUAAAAACUCUUCUUUCCUGUGGAGAAGGAUCACAUUUCAUACUUCUUUUGUGUACUUCAUGGUUCUCAACAAGAACUUCUCAAUAAUUGGUUGCCUUUUCUAAUGUUUUGCGUUUUUUGCCUUGGUUGCCUAGAAACACAGACUUAAAUAUGUGAGUUUAAUUACAGAAACAUUUUUUUUGGCUGAUUCAAUUAAAUCUCCAUAUCUUUUAGGUA